This 1164-nucleotide long non-coding RNA is filed under the name Vulpes vulpes (red fox). Its description in RNAcentral is "lncRNA (ENSVVUG00000003067.1)". Lineage: Eukaryota; Metazoa; Chordata; Mammalia; Carnivora; Canidae. The record is from RNAcentral.
UGGUGAGCCUGCUAUCCAGGGGCCUGCUUGGCCUAGCCAUGUCUGGAAUGUGUAACCCCAAGUCCAAAUCACACGGAGAGCCCACUUACCAGGGGCCUAAGUGAGUACAGCUGAGCUGUGACGUUGGAACCUAGUGUUUCCUUGGCCCCCUUGCCUUAUGCUGCGCUCAGCUGGAGAGCUGGUGCUAUGAGAGUUCGUUGUUCAUCCAGUGUCUGGGUGACACACAUGCCCAGGGGCUUGUGGGUUCAGAGGGUUUCCAGUCUGAGGGCCCCCGGUAGUUGCUCUCUUCUGCAGACUGUAUUCCUCAGUGUCCUUCUGUGUUCGAGGGUUUGUGGUCUGUGGGCUCCUGGUCAGCCAGGGAUCUGGAGGUUCUGUUUGACCACUAGUGAGCUGGGGCAGGCAGCUCGUCGUCUGAGGGCUCAUGAUCCGAUAUCCCCCACCAUGUCCUGUGAUGUGGUGACUCCUUUCCCAGGACUUACUUGUUUCUUAAAAUAUGCUACCAGAUGCUUAGAGGCACUGCAGACAUUGUACACAUGGGGGUGGACUGAAGUUGUAGGGCAGUAAUGUGCCAUGUGCUAAACUGGGUUGGAGAGCUCCAGAGAAGCCGUGAGUGCCCUGGGUUCCCUCAGGAUGUGGACUCACAGCUUUCCUCUGUUGAGCCAGGUAUUGACCACAGAGGUGUGGGAGAGGCAUUUUCCUCUGCCUGAGUAUCCAUGGUAUCGAUUCCCAGUGUCCGGCUCCCACAGGCCACAUGGGAAUGUGUCCAUGAGGAGCCAGGCCAAUCUCACAGUGGGAAAUGGGACCAGGAGUCACCUGCUGUGGAUUCGUGGACGCUCAGGAACACAGAGGGAGUUGAAGAGAUGUGCAGGGGGAGCCCAAAGAGCUGGCGAGAGGCCUGGGUCAGAAAUGGUGGGCAGGGGGCUUGCCAUGGAUAGGAGCAGAAAAUAGUGCAGAGAACCUGAGGGAGAGAAGGGAGAUCUGUGGCUGAAGUGCCCUCUGUUAUCACGGGGGCCUGCGGGUUUGCCAUGCUCUUAUAUCAGCCCAGGUGCAUCAGAGUGGCUUUCUGUGAUGUCACCGCCAUGCCCGGGCCAAUCAUACAGGCUCUCAGGUUGGCCUGUUUCAGGUGGCCAAUCACCAUGCAGCUCAGGUGGCCAAUGUCAGAUG